Molecule: ribosomal RNA, 253 nt
Filed under: uncultured bacterium
Lineage: Bacteria
Description: partial 16S ribosomal RNA
Rfam family: Bacterial small subunit ribosomal RNA
Source: RNAcentral
UACGGGGGGGGCAAGCGUUGUUCGGAAUUACUGGGCGUAAAGGGCUCGUAGGCGGCCAACUAAGUCCGACGUGAAAUCCCCAGGCUUAACCUGGGAACUGCGUCGGAUACUGGAUGGCUUGAAUUCGGGAGAGGGAUGCAGAAUUCCAGGUGUAGCGGUGAAAUGCGUAGAUAUCUGGAGGAAUACCGGUGGCGAAGGCGGCAUCAUGGACCGACAUUGACGCUGAGGAGCGAAAGCUAGGGGAGCAAACGGG